Molecule: ribosomal RNA, 512 nt
Filed under: uncultured Glomus
Lineage: Eukaryota; Fungi; Glomeromycota; Glomeromycetes; Glomerales; Glomeraceae
Description: SSU rRNA
Rfam family: Eukaryotic small subunit ribosomal RNA
Source: RNAcentral
AGCAGCUGCGGUAAUUCCAGCUCCAAUAGCGUAUAUUAAAGUUGUUGCAGUUAAAAAGCUCGUAGUUGAAUUUCGGGACCAAUUUGUUGGUCGUGCCUCGGUACGUACUGGUAUUAUUGGUUUCUCCCUUCUGAAGAAUCUCGAUGCCAUUAAUUUGGUGUCGUGGGGAGUCAGGACUGUUACUUUGAAAAAAUUAGAGUGUUUAAAGCAAGCAUACGCUUGAAUACAUUAGCAUGGAAUAAUGAAAUAGGACGUUUGAUUCUAUUUUGUUGGUUUCUAGGAUCGACGUAAUGAUUAAUAGGGAUAGUUGGGGGCAUUAGUAUUCAAUUGUCAGAGGUGAAAUUCUUGGAUUUAUUGAAGACUAACUACUGCGAAAGCAUUUGCCAAGGAUGUUUUCAUUAAUCAAGAACGAAAGUUAGGGGAUCGAAGACGAUCAGAUACCGUCGUAGUCUUAACCAUAAACUAUGCCGAUAGGGAUCGGAUGAUGUUAAUUUUUAAUGUACUCAUUCGGC